Molecule: ribosomal RNA, 250 nt
Filed under: uncultured bacterium
Lineage: Bacteria
Description: partial 16S ribosomal RNA
Rfam family: Bacterial small subunit ribosomal RNA
Source: RNAcentral
UACGUAGGUUGCGAGCGUUGUCCGGAAUCACUGGGCGUAAAGCGCACGCAGGCGGCUUCGCAAGCCCAUGGUGAAAGCCCUCGGCCCAACCGAGGGAGGCCCAUGGGAACUGCGGGGCUCAGAAGACGGGAGAGGCGGAUGGAAUUUCCGGUGUAGCGGUAAAAUGCGUAGAUACCGGAAGGAACACCAGUGGCGAAAGCGAUCCGCUGGCCCGCUCUUGACGCUCAGGUGCGAAAGCUAGGGGAGCGAC